This 460-nucleotide long non-coding RNA is filed under the name Fukomys damarensis (Damara mole-rat). RNAcentral describes it as "lncRNA (ENSFDAG00000030462.1)". The record is from RNAcentral. Lineage: Eukaryota; Metazoa; Chordata; Mammalia; Rodentia; Bathyergidae.
UAACAACCAGCAUGAAGAUAAGCAUGAGGAUAACAGGAUGCAAUUGCUUCUUCCCCAAGGACCAGUCCUCGGUCCAAGGCACUCUGCAGGACCAGUGUGUUCACCAUCUCUGCAGCCUCACAGGAGCUCUCUGAGGAUGGCAGGAAAACCAUCUCCAUCGACGAGUCUGACUGUUGAACCUGCUCCUGGACAAGGAGUGGGGAUUCCUCUGUCUAGCGCUCACCCUUCCACACUCCCCUGCACUGCUGUGUUCUAUGGUUUGGAUCUUCAAUGUCCUUAAAGGCCCUUAUAUGAAAAGGCUUGGUUCCCAGCGUGUGGCACUAUUCAGAGAGUGGCCUAGCGGAAGGAAGGGAGGUCACUGGGUUGUGCCCUCGAAGUGGAUCUUGGGACCACCAUCUCUUCUUUCUCUUUGCUUCCUGGCCUCUAUGAGGUAAGUAGCCUCCUGUACCACUCUUGUCAG